AGAGUUUGAUCAUGGCUCAGGAUGAACGCUAGCGGCAGGCCUAAUACAUGCAAGCCGAACGGUAAGUUGAAUAGCAAUAUUUGACCUAGAGUGGCGCAAGGGUGCGUAACACGUAUGCAAUCUGCCCUCAACAGGAGGAUAGCUCCCCGAAAGGGGAAUUAACACUCCAUAACACAUUCGAUUGGCAUCAAUUGGAUGUUAAAACUACGGUGGUUGAGGAUGAGCAUGCGGAUGAUUAGCUAGUUGGCGGUGUAACGGACCACCAAGGCGAUGAUCAAUAGGGGAACUGAGAGGUUUAUCCCCCACACUGGCACUGAGAUACGGGCCAGACUCCUACGGGAGGCAGCAGUAGGGAAUAUUGGACAAUGGGCGCAAGCCUGAUCCAGCCAUGCCGCGUGCAGGAAGAAGGCCUUCUGGGUCGUAAACUGCUUUUCUCUGGGGAUAAAAAGGCCAUGCGUGGCAAAUUGAAGGUACCAGAGGAAUAAGCCACGGCUAACUACGUGCCAGCAGCCGCGGUAAUACGUAGGUGGCAAGCGUUGUCCGGAUUUAUUGGGUUUAAAGGGUGCGUAGGCGGCCCUGUAAGUCAGUGGUGAAAUACGGCAGCUCAACUGUCGAGGUGCCAUUGAUACUGCGGGGCUUGAGUACUGAUGAGGUAGGCGGAAUUGACGGUGUAGCGGUGAAAUGCUUAGAUAUCGUCAAGAACACCGAUAGCGAAGGCAGCUUACCAAGCAGUAACUGACGCUGAGGCACGAAAGUGCGGGGAUCAAACAGGAUUAGAUACCCUAGUAGUCC
Molecule: ribosomal RNA, 792 nt
Filed under: uncultured bacterium
Lineage: Bacteria
Description: bacterial SSU rRNA
Rfam family: Bacterial small subunit ribosomal RNA
Source: RNAcentral